This 301-nucleotide ribosomal RNA is filed under the name uncultured bacterium. RNAcentral's name for it is "partial 16S ribosomal RNA". It matches the Rfam family "Bacterial small subunit ribosomal RNA", at positions 509 to 807 of the family's 1533-position model. The record is from RNAcentral.
CAGCCGCCACGGUAACACGGAGGGAGCUAGCGUUGUUCGGAAUUACUGGGCGUAAAGCGCGCGUAGGCGGUUACUCAAGUCAGAGGUGAAAGCCCGGGGCUCAACCCCGGAACUGCCUUUGAAACUAGGUGACUAGAAUCUUGGAGAGGUCAGUGGAAUUCCGAGUGUAGAGGUGAAAUUCGUAGAUAUUCGGAAGAACACCAGUGGCGAAGGCGACUGACUGGACAAGUAUUGACGCUGAGGUGCGAAAGCGUGGGGGGCAAACAGGAUUAGAUACCCCCGUAGUCCCUGUCUCUUAUAC